RNAcentral lists this ribosomal RNA (765 nucleotides) under uncultured bacterium. RNAcentral's name for it is "bacterial SSU rRNA". It matches the Rfam family "Bacterial small subunit ribosomal RNA", at positions 28 to 806 of the family's 1533-position model. The record is from RNAcentral.
GACGAACGCUGGCGGCGCGCCUAACACAUGCAAGUCGAACGAGCGAGAGAGAGCUUGCUUUCUCGAGCGAGUGGCGAACGGGUGAGUAACGCGUGAGGAACCUGCCUCAAAGAGGGGGACAACAGUUGGAAACGACUGCUAAUACCGCAUAAGCCCACGACCCGGCAUCGGGAAGAGGGAAAAGGAGCAAUCCGCUUUGAGAUGGCCUCGCGUCCGAUUAGCUAGUUGGUGAGGUAACGGCCCACCAAGGCAACGAUCGGUAGCCGGACUGAGAGGUUGAACGGCCACAUUGGGACUGAGACACGGCCCACACUCCUACGGGAGGCAGCAGUGGGGAAUAUUGCACAGUGGGGGAAACCCUGAUGCAGCGACGCCGCGUGGAGGAAGAAGGUCUUCGGAUUGUAAACUCCUGUUGUUGAGGAAGAUAAUGACGGUACUCAACAAGGAAGUGACGGCUAACUACGUGCCAGCAGCCGCGGUAAAACGUAGGUCACAAGCGUUGUUCGGAAUUACUGGGUGUAAAGGGAGCGCAGGCGGGAAGACAAGUUGGAAGUGAAAUCCAUGGGCUCAACCCAUGAACUGCUUUCAAAACUGUUUUUCUUGAGUAGUGCAGAGGUAGGCGGAAUUCCCGGUGUAGCGGUGGAAUGCGUAGAUAUCGGGAGGAACACCAGUGGCGAAGGCGGCCUACUGGGCACCAACUGACGCUGAGGCUCGAAAGUGUGGGUAGCAAACAGGAUUAGAUACCCUGGUAGUCCACACCGUAAA